RNAcentral lists this long non-coding RNA (1247 nucleotides) under Parus major (Great Tit). RNAcentral's name for it is "lncRNA (ENSPMJG00000002217.1)". Lineage: Eukaryota; Metazoa; Chordata; Aves; Passeriformes; Paridae. The record is from RNAcentral.
GAAUCCCUGGGAACAGCUCCUGGAAUGUGUCAGAUCCUGGAAAACACCGGGAACGGGGCUUGGAAUGUGUGAGAUCCCGGAAUGUGUCAGAUCCCGGAAACACCGGGAACGGGGCCUGGAAGGUGUCAGAUCCCAGAAUGUGUCAGAUCCUGGAAUGUGUCAGAUCCCGGAAACACCGGGAACGGGGCCUGGAAUGUGUCGGAUCCUGGGAAACACCAGGAAUGGGGCUUGGAAUGUGUCAGAUCCCGGGAACAGCUCCUGGAAUGUGUCAGAUCCCGGAAUGUGUCAGAUCCCGGCAAACACCCGGAACAGUUCCUGGAAUGUGUCGGAUCCCGGGAAACACCCGGAACAGUUCCUGGAGCGGGGCAUGGCCCAGGAAACACCCAGAACAGUUCCUGGAAUGUGUCGGAUCCCGGAAACACCCGGAACAGCUCCUGGAACAAGGCGCGGCCUCUCAAACACCCGGAAUGGCAUCUGGAGUGGGGCACGGCCCAGGAAACACCCGGAACAGCUCCUGGAAUGUGUCAGAUCCCGGCAAACACCCGGAACAGUUCCUGGAGCAGGGCAUGGCCCAGGAAACACCCGGAACAGCUCCUGGAAGGUGUCAGAUCCCAGAAACACCGGGAACGGGGCUUGGAAUGUGUCAGACCCCGGAAAACACCGGGAACGGGGCCUGGAAUGUGUCAGAUCCCGGGAACAGCUCCUGGAAUGUGUCAGAUCCCAGAAACACCGGGAAUGGGGCUUGGAAUGUGUUAGAUCCCGGGAAUCCCUGGGAACAGCUCCUGGAAUGUGUCAGAUCCCGGGAACACCGGGAACGGGGCCUGGAAUGUGUGAGAUCCCGGAAUGUGUCAGAUCCCGGAAUGUGUCAGAUCCCGGAAACACCGGGAACAGCUCCUGGAAGGUGUCAGAUCCCAGAAACACCGGGAAUGGGGCUUGGAAUGUGUCAGAUCCCAGAAUGUGUCAGAUCCCAGAAAUACCGGGAAUGGGGCUUGGAAUGUGUCAGAUACCGGGAACAGCUCCUGGAAUGUGUCAGAUCCCGGAAACACCGGGAACGGGGCCUGGAAUGUGUCAGGUCCCAGAAACGGCACCUGGAAUGUGUCAGGUCCCAGAAACGGCACCUGGAAUGGGUCAGAUCCCGGGAACAGCUCCUGGAAUGUGUCAGAUCCCGGGAACAGCUCCUGGAAUGUGUCAGAUCCCGGGAACAGCUCCUGGAAUGUGUCAGAUCCCAGGAAUCCCCGGGAACAGCU